Pseudophryne corroboree (corroboree frog) is the source of this 3325-nucleotide long non-coding RNA. RefSeq lists it as uncharacterized. The record is from RefSeq and is a predicted model, not a curated record. NCBI's taxonomy places the organism in Eukaryota, Metazoa, Chordata, Amphibia, Anura, Myobatrachidae. The transcript is spliced from 3 exons.
UACUUUAAAUUAAGUCCUGUAUUGGUGCAUUUUAUGUAUGAUCCAUAUGCAAAAAUGUUUAAUGUGGUAAACAAUUUAUCCAAUAUAUUUACUGAACAAAAAAUGUAAUAUUUAGGAGGAAUUUGACCUGAAAUCCAAUUAAGCACGUGAGGUCAUUUCCUGCACUAAUGUAAUUGGUUAGUGACAGUAUAAAUAUCAAGCUCCUGCACACUACAUCAUGUCUUGAUAAAGGUUAUUCACCGAAACGCGUUGACACAGGAGUGCGAGUAGCUUCAUACCUUCCAGCUGAUGUUUGUUACUUUCUUUUGUUUUUAACUUUGCAUGUUUUUUGAUGUUGGUGCAACUUUUAUUCACAUUGCGUGUGGAUUUUUGUAACAUGUUUUUAUACGGAACAUUUUAUGGAUUUUUAAUCCAAUAAACAUUGCUUUUUCUGACUACCACGGACCUGAGUGCUCCAGUGCUUUGUAUGAAGAUUUUCACCAGCCGUGUAAAAGAUACCUUUAUGGGAGCACCAACACACUAUGAACUAUCUAGUCCUCCAGUACCACUGACAUUGAGACUGUGACUAACAGAACGAGAAUAUCACAUACUCCACCCCUGCAUAUCCUCUGCCCCUCUUUGGUACAGCUCCAUCAAUGUCUAGCCUGGGCAGGACCAUUCCUGCCAAUGCUUCUCCACCUUUAAUGCUUCAAGAAGAUUCACCUUCAAGAGUGGGAUCCUCUCAGAUACUUGUACAUGGGCCGGUUACCCUGCGCUCAGUACAUCUCCUACUGACAUCAAGUGGCACCCCACAGUUGUGGAACUACAGGUCACAGCAUGUCUGCUUGAGAAUUGCUGGGGCAGGCUGUAUAUGACCCAGCACAGUCUUUCCCCUGGUUGGAACUGCAGGGAAAGCAUGGGUUAAUGCAGCUAAAGGGCCCCAUACACUACAACGAUUUUGCAUGAUUUUAUCCGAUUCCGACCUUUCGGGCUGAUAAAUUGGAUGAAAAGUAUCAAAUUGUAUGUUUUCCAUCCGAUCCGAUGCACGGUCCCGUGAGUGUCUGAUUGGAUCUCCUAGAUCGCUAGUGCUGCACUCCUGAUAUAUCGUAAUUGCAUGGAAUCCUGUGGGAAAAAAAGUGUGUUUUUUGUGCCUGCAAUAUAUCGUAGGAAGUUUGACUGGCAUUCUCAGGACACUCCCAUCAGCGGCAGCAGCAGCUAUGACGCAGCAGGAGAAAAAGAGCGCAUCGGAUAUAUUGGAUUUCAUUGCCCCAAAUAUGUCUCUGGAUCAAGACAUAGACUUCAUCACCAGCCUACUAGACAUGUACCGUAGCCAUGAAUGUCUAUGAAAGGUCAAAGCAAAGGGGUAUUCAGACAAAGUGCGACGGAAUGCGACCUUGGAGGAGCUAGUGGAUUACAGCAGGCCCUUUGUCUCCGGUGCAGACAAGGACUGGGUUAAGAAAAAAAUCCAAAACCUGCGUACUGUGUUCCUGAAAGAACACAAAACAAGGAACAGUAAAAAAUGGUCUGGAGCUGGUUCCUGACUGGUUUACAAGCUCAUAUUCUGGUACUACCCCUUACUGGAGUUUGUCCUGGACCAGGAGCCUACCCGGACAGGUUUCUCCUCCCUGCCUCGGACUGCCACAUCAGAGCCUGAAGAGGGUGAACCAUCUCUGCCGGCAUCUAAGUGUAUUUUUUUCAAAAAGUUUUUUGAAGGUUCACUAAAGUUUUUGAAUGAAGCACCAAUCCAACACAGUCAACUUCACUGAAUGUGGUCCUCCUGCCAAUGGACUGCACCUACCCCGUUAAAAUAGGCCAGGUACUCGUCCCUGACCUGUUUUGCCCGUGCACUCGCCCUAGAAUGGAGUGGAGGUGGUUCCACAGAGGGAAACGAUGAAGUCACCUCUGGAUGUUCUGGGUCUCCUGGCGCUGCUCUGCCCAGUGUCUUAUGCUGGGUGGUUUUUCUGUGCAAAUAGUUAUGCAGGACACAGCACGCAAUCACCACCCAAUCUAUCUUCUCCACCUGCAAGUUGAUAGCCGAUAGGAAUAUCUGGAAGAGGCUAGACAGGAUCCCAAAAGUGUUCUCUACAAUCCGGCGUGCCCUCUAUUUUCUCCACCUGCAAAUUGAUAGCCAAUAGGAAUAUCUGGAAGCGGCUAGACGUCCUGUCAAAAGUGUUCUCUACAAUCGGGCGUGCCCUGGAUAGCCUAUAAUUAUAGAUGCGCUUCUCCCUUGUCAGAUGCCUUUGGGGGUACGCCGUCAUAAUGUUCUCAUGGAGUGCGAAUGCCUCAUCAGCCACAAAAAUAAAAUUGAGGCCGUGGUUGGUUUGCUCCCUAGAUGGCAUAUUAAGGGUCUUUGUGGUGAGCCACUCAAGAAAGUUGGUAUUCUUCAGCGAGCCACCAUCUGAUGCACCUCCGUUUUUGCCAACAUCAAUGAAGAUGAAUUCGUAAUAGGCAUUCACCACUGCCAUCAGCACAAUGCUGAAAUACCCUUUAUAAUUAUAAUAAAGGGAUCCGCUGUUUGCAGGAGAGUUGAUGCUGUCAAAGUCGAAAAAUAUUGUAAUGCAUAUGCUUUGUACUAACCGCAUGCACAUGCCCGCUGCUCGUACACUCAGUCCGCCGUGCGUGCACAUAUCCGCAAUUUGCGUAGGAUCGCUCCGGCGAUCAUGCGCGUGAUAUUGGUAUUUAUGGCGGAGUUUGUGAGCGCGUAGAGGGUUAUUAGAACAUUACAUAUUUAACCCAAAUAGUGCAUUUUGUACCCAUAGUUCCCUUGCACCACAUCAGCGAGUAUUAAUAGUUUAAACAGUUCCAGGACUAAGAGAUUCGCCUUUGCAUGAUAGGAAGGGUCAGAUAAAGGUUGGAAGGUGAUGUCUAGUAUCCAGCUGUAGGGUAUUUUGAGGGUAACAUUCCGGUAUUGGUUAGAGAAAGAUCGCAUGUUCCAGCGUAUAGUUAUGUGCAGAAGUAGAAUAUAGAUAUUAACUGUAUUUACUGUAUAUUAUGUAUGCGGCGGGAAUCCAGAGGAUACCACCCACAAGAGCAGUUGGGGAAAGACAUCGCCCAUCUAUUCAAAUCAACCUAUGACCUCUUCUGUAAUGAAAAGACACAUCUCUGUGUCCAAUGGACAAUGCGAUUACAGUGACCAUUGUAUUGUGUAUGUAUGUUGUGUAUAAAAAGCCCAUUGUUGCCUGGCCCGUCAGAAGACUCUGAACGCUUUCUAUCUGACUAGCGGAGGACCGUCCGGGUUGCGCUUGCGAACAUUCUCACGUAUGUACAUUCUCUGUAGCCAUUAUUCUGUUUAGAUUUAUCUUGUUAGCCUGUAGUGUAUGAUUUGUACUGUUUUACCUUUUGGAAU